AAGAAGCGACGGCGGGCGGGUGAAUAAACGCGUGGGUAACCUGCCCUGUACACACGGAUAACAUACCGAAAGGUAUACUAAUACGGGGAUAACAUACGAAGAGUCGCAUGGCUUUUGUAUCAAAGCUCCGGCGGUACAGGAUGGACCCGCGUCUGAUUAGCUAGUUGGUAAGGUAAUGGCUUACCAUAGGCAACGAUCAGUACCGACCUGAGAGGGUGAUCGGCCACACUGGAACUGAGACACGGUCCAGACUCCUACGGGAGGCAGCAGUGGGGAAUAUUGCACAAUGGGCGAAAGCCUGAUGCAGCAACGCCGCGUGAGCGAUGAAGGCCUUCGGGUCGUUU
RNAcentral lists this ribosomal RNA (344 nucleotides) under Paraclostridium bifermentans. RNAcentral describes it as "bacterial SSU rRNA". It matches the Rfam family "Bacterial small subunit ribosomal RNA", at positions 87 to 428 of the family's 1533-position model. The record is from RNAcentral. Lineage: Bacteria; Bacillati; Bacillota; Clostridia; Peptostreptococcales; Peptostreptococcaceae.